GUAGCUAUUGCUGUGAAAUCUGCACUCCUCUCUGAGACUCAUUCUGAAGAUGAGAUCCCAGUUCUUUGUGGAUACCUCUUCCUUAUUCAUGGCUUUUUGCAAUUGUCAAGGAAUGACUAGGUACCAAGCAACUUUAAAAAAUGUAUAUUUAAGCAUUGAAAUAGUAUCAAGUGUGACUUCUCUGCUUGUGGUUAUAUUGAUUAUAUUAUCCUUUUAAUAAUAUUGGCAUUAUAUUCUUGGUCAUAAAAUGUCAAGGUCUUAUUUAUUCAAUAUAUUUAUGUUCUGUAUUUUCAUAUAUAUUAUCUGUUUUCAACCAUGCAUUAUAUAUAAUGUCAGUAAUAGUAUUUCAUUAGCAUUCAUUAUUAAAAACCUCUUGUUUUUAAUAUUUGACUAAUUCAAGUCACAAUACUUUUCAGAUAGCUGAAAAGGAAAAUAAAUGUGUUUUAAUUUGCUACUACUUAUACUUGAAUUACCUUAUGCUCAUAUUUGUUUUUAGAAAUAAAUUGUGCCAGCUAUUUUGAAAUCUUAGAAAUUGUUUGUUCAUAUUAAUAUUGUCAUAUUUUCUUUUCUAUAAGAAAUAUAAUUUGAUAUAUAAAUAUACUUCCCCACGCAUGUUUAAUGUAUAAGAUCAAGUGUUCGAAGCAUUAAACAUUAAUUAUCUUGGAAUUUUAUUAUGUGUAUAAUAUCUAUUAAUACCUCUAUGUAAACCAGUGGUUCUUUAUCUUUGAGAUCACAGACCCCCCUCUGUGAUAAAAAAAAAAACCGACAAAAAAUAUUAACUGCUCUGAAAAAAGUUUUAGAACUACGUUUUCAAAAUUUUCUAUUUUAUGUUAGGUAGUUCAGAGACCCACCCCAAAGUCCUACCAGUGACCCCUUUUUCAAAUCCCCUGUAAUGUUAAUGUAGUUUUUUUAUAUUAGCAUAUGUUUCUUAAUUAAAAUGUGUGAUAAUUGCUGGUAGAUAUUUUAAUAUUUCUAAGUUACUACAGAACAAAAUGUAUUUUACCAGAAGACCACUUGGUAAGCAUUUAUUACAUGUUUUUCUUUUAAGGCAACAGUGGAAGUUAACUUACAAACAUGCUGUGAAUAUUUUUCUAGCUUCAUGUACCAAUAUGUAGAAUUGUGCUUUUAUUUCUAAUUAAUUUUUUCCUAACACUAUUAUUAUAAUUAGCUAAUAUACAGUAUUGUAAAUACUACUUAAAUGCAUAUACUUCCCAAAUCUAGAGCCUGGUUUCCUUUUCAGAAUCGUAUCAAAAAGUUGGAAGGAGAGACUUACCGAUACCACUGUGCUAUUCCUGGAAGCAAGAAGACAAUCCUUAUGGUUACAAAUAGGCGAGUGUUGUGUAUAAAGGAAGUUGAAAUCCUGGGCCUUAUGUGUGUAGACUGGCAAUGUCCAUUUGAAGAUUUUGUAUUUCCUCCUAGUGUCAGUGAAAAUGUGCUAAAAAUUUCAGUUAAGGAACAGGGUCUGUUCCACAAAAAAGACAGUGCCAAUCAAGGCUGUGUUCGAAAAGUUUACCUGAAGGACACUGCCACAGCAGAGAGAGCAUGUAAUGCCAUUGAGGAUGCACAGUCAACGAGACAGCAGCAAAAAUUGAUGAAGCAGUCAUCAGUGAGACUUCUCAGACCCCAAUUGCCAUCUUAAUCACAGACCCCAGGGGCUCCAACAGGGAGAAAAAACAAUCACUGGUUUUGUCUAUAAAUCACUCUGCUUUAUCUUGCUAAAGACAAUUUUUCAAGCAAUCCUUUAGUUUUAUUUUUCUAGAAUAGCUAGUAUUGGGUUUUCUAGUUUUUUCACCUUUUAGUUUUUACUCUAAUUUUGUAACCAUGUACAUGCUAGCAGUCCACUUCUACGCCACCACCCAAAUGGGUCAGACCCUUGAAGGAAAUGUCACUUCAAACUCAGAAUGAAAUUUUCAUUAAUAUUAAAAUUGUGAAGCAAAGGUCAAUAGGCUUAUAUUUAAUUAAAGCCUUACUGAAGAAUAAGAAAUGAGCUUAGAAUGACUAGUGUUCUUUGAAAGGUUUAUUUUAUUUUUGUUUUAUGGGUUUUUUUUUUUUUUUUUUGAGACCAAGUCUUGCUCUGUUGCCCAGGCUGGAAUGCAGUGGUGCGAUCUUGGCUCACUGCAAUCUCUGCCUCUCGGGUUCAAGUGGUUCUCCUGCCUCAGCCUCCUGAGUAGCUAGGAUUACAGGUGUGUGCCACCACGCCUGGGUAAUUUUGUGUGUGUGUAUUUUUAGUAGAGAUGAGUUUUACCAUGUUGGUCAGUCUAGUCUUGAACUCCUGACCUUGUGAUCCGCCUGCCUCAGUCUCCCAAAGUGCUGGGAUUACAGGCGUGAGCCACCGUGGCCCGCCAAAAAGCUUUAACCCAUGGACAAAUGUUGGAUCCUGACAUUUUGUUUAAGAGUGAUUUGUUCAAUAAUUGAACUGAGUUAACAUUUUUGGUAAGCGAGGUAACUGAAUGAAGAAAAAUCACUAAAGGGAGAAAUGACAUGUUUUAUAUUUUCUUUUCAUGAAAACACUGUUUUUCCCCCUAAUAAAGCAUGUUUUACUUUGGUGCUUAUUUUUCCUCCUUGCAGUCUAAUAAAAAAAUGUGGACAAUCAAACCUUAAAAUAUCUAUACUCAGCCCUCUGUAAUGUAGCAUUCAUAAAAAUUUGGAAGUAUUUACAUGCUCUUUCAAGAUGAGCUUAUAUGACACAAUUAUUAUUUGCUGAUACAUGAAAAUAUUGCACUUUAAGUUUCUCAAGACUCUGAAAUAUAUAAAAUUCAAUAUUUUUAUAUUCCCAGAAAUUGUUUCUUACAGGUUGAAAGACUUUUAAGGGCAUCACAAAUUAACAUUUACUCCCAAUGCACACCUAGAAUGUAUUUUAAAUACUUACUAAGAAGAAUGAAAAUUCUUUGGUUGUUUUAUAUAUAAAUAAGGCAUAUAUAAUGACACUGCGUUCUGUGAGGGAGCAGGCCCUGUGAGAAUCAAUUCAGGACAGUAUUUUUUUGUGUCCUUUCUCCAUCCUUGAUCAGAGAUAAACUAUUAAAACUUUAAAAAAUACUCAAAAAUAUUUAAGUUUUUUGCUUGAACCUUUAGAUUUGCUCAUAAUGUUUAACAUAACAACAUUUAUUUCAAAUCACUGAAUUCAUGGAGAUGUGGACACGCUUGGUUUGCUCUGUUUUUGUUUAUAUGUGGUAGUGGUUCUGUCAUCAUCAUUCAUGUUUUUUAAGGCCUGGUCAUAAAACUUUAAAUUUUACUAGUGUUACUUAAUGUAUAUUCUAAAAAGAGAAUGCAGUAACUAAUGCCCUAAAUGUUUGAUCUCUGUUUGUCAUUACUUUUUCAAAAUUAUUUUUUUCUGUAAAGUAUAAUAUAUACAACUUCUUGCUUAAAUUGAAUUUCUAUAUUAGUGGUUAAUUGCAGUUUAUUAAAGGGAUCAUUAUCAGUAAUUUCAUAGCAACUGUUCUAGUGUUUUGUGUUUUUAAAACAGAAUUCGGAAUGUGAGAUAUCCUAUUAUAUUUUCCAUAAUGAAUCACAGCUGUUGACAAUGUCCCAUAUAUUUAAGAAAUUAUAUCAUACUGAUACUAUUUGUAACAUUUUGAUUUGAUUUAAUCUCCAGGGACAGAAAUAAUUCAUUGGUAAAGUGUAAUAAUGCAUUUUUUAAAAAUGCUUUGAGAGGUAAUUACUUGCAUAUGCGAGAAAUAAAACAUUUGGCACAUUGU
Molecule: small RNA, 3695 nt
Filed under: Pongo abelii (Sumatran orangutan)
Lineage: Eukaryota; Metazoa; Chordata; Mammalia; Primates; Hominidae
Description: retained intron
Source: RNAcentral